CUACGGGGCGCUGCAGUGGGGAAUAUUGCACAAUGGGCGCAAGCCUGAUGCAGCCAUGCCGCGUGUAUGAAGAAGGCCUUCGGGUUGUAAAGUACUUUCAGCGGGGAGGAAGGGAGUAAAGUUAAUACCUUUGCUCAUUGACGUUACCCGCAGAAGAAGCACCGGCUAACUCCGUGCCAGCAGCCGCGGUAAUACGGAGGGUGCAAGCGUUAAUCGGAAUUACUGGGCGUAGAGCGCACGCAGGCGGUUUGUUAAGUCAGAUGUGAAAUCCCCGGGCUCAACCUGGGAACUGCAUCUGGAUACUGGCAAGCUUGAGUCUCGUAGAGGGGGGUAGAAUUCCAGGUGUAGCGGUGAAAUGCGUAGAGAUCUGGAGGAAUACCGGUGGCGAAGGCGGCCCCCUGGACGAAGACUGACGCUCAGGUGCGAAAGCGUGGGGAGCAAACAGGAUUAGAUACCCCGGUAGUC
This 465-nucleotide ribosomal RNA is filed under the name uncultured bacterium. RNAcentral's name for it is "partial 16S ribosomal RNA". It matches the Rfam family "Bacterial small subunit ribosomal RNA", at positions 339 to 795 of the family's 1533-position model. The record is from RNAcentral.